CCUACGGGAGGCAGCAGUGAGGAAUAUUGGUCAAUGGGCGGGAGCCUGAACCAGCCAAGUCGCGUGAGGGAAGACGGUCCUAUGGAUUGUAAACCUCUUUAGGCGGGGAGCAAUGCCGGGCACGCGUGCCCGGAGGGAGAGUACCCGCAGAAUAAGCAUCGGCUAACUCCGUGCCAGCAGCCGCGGUCAUACGGAGGAUGCGAGCGUUAUCCGGAUGUAUUUGGUUUAAAGGGUGCGUAGGCGGAUUUUUAAGUCAGCGGUAAAAUGUCCGGGCUCAACCCGGGCCGGACGUUGAUACUGGUGAUCUUGAGUGGGCGAGAAGUAUGCGGAAUGCGGGGUGUAGCGGUGAAAUGCAUAGAUAUCACGCAGAACUCCGAUUGCGAAGGCAGCAUACCGGCGCCCGACUGACGCUGAGGCACGAAAGCGUGGGGAUCGAACAGGAUUAGAUACCCGGGUAGUC
This 460-nucleotide ribosomal RNA is filed under the name uncultured bacterium. RNAcentral's name for it is "partial 16S ribosomal RNA". It matches the Rfam family "Bacterial small subunit ribosomal RNA", at positions 338 to 795 of the family's 1533-position model. The record is from RNAcentral.